UUUGGAGACUUCGCUGUCAAUUUUGAUACAACCGUCAUACACUGGUAUCAACAGAAGGUGAACAAAGCUCCAGAGAGGAUGCUCCAUUUUCAAAGGCAAAACCAGAAACUGUGCUUUCUUACAGUAAAGAAUGUCACUGUAGAUGACACCGCUACCUACUAUUGUGCCUACUGGUACAUUCACCCCAGUAGAACCUCAGAGAUCACCUAG
Tauraco erythrolophus (red-crested turaco) is the source of this 210-nucleotide non-coding RNA. NCBI's taxonomy places the organism in Eukaryota, Metazoa, Chordata, Aves, Musophagiformes, Musophagidae. The record is from the annotation of a RefSeq genome assembly.